UCCUCUUUCUCUCUCAGUUUGCCAGGCAGUAUAGCAGGAAUGAGCCCCUGACCUUUGCAUGGUUACGCCGAUACAUCAAAUGGCCUUUACUUCCACCUAAGAAUAUUAAAGACCUCAUGGAUCUUGAAGCUGUCCACGAUGUCUUGGAUCUUUACCUGUGGCUAAGCUACCGAUUUAUGGAUAUGUUUCCAGAUGCCAGCCUUAUUCGAGAUCUCCAGAAAGAACUAGAUGGUAUUAUCCAAGAUGGUGUACACAAUAUCACUAAAUUGAUUAAAAUGUCUGAGACGCAUAAGCUGUUGAAUUUGGAGGGCUUUCCAUCAGGGAGCCAGUCACGAUUGUCAGGAACCUUAAAGAGCCAAGCGAGAAGGACACGCGGCACCAAAGCUCUAGGGAGUAAAGCUACUGAGCCACCCAGCCCCGAUGCAGGAGAGCUGUCCCUUGCUUCCAGAUUGGUGCAGCAAGGACUCCUCACUCCAGACAUGCUGAAACAGCUAGAAAAAGAGUGGAUGACACAACAAACUGAACACAACAAAGAAAAAACAGAGUCUGGGACUCAUCCAAAAGGGACGAGAAGAAAGAAGAAGGAACCUGAUUCGGACUAGUUUUCUGUUCCUGUUUUUUUUUUUUUUUUUUUUUUAAAUUUUGCAAAUAAAAAUUUAUUUUGAAUCCUUU
RNAcentral lists this small RNA (672 nucleotides) under Pongo abelii (Sumatran orangutan). Its description in RNAcentral is "processed transcript". The record is from RNAcentral. Lineage: Eukaryota; Metazoa; Chordata; Mammalia; Primates; Hominidae.